Molecule: long non-coding RNA, 426 nt
Filed under: Cricetulus griseus (Chinese hamster)
Lineage: Eukaryota; Metazoa; Chordata; Mammalia; Rodentia; Cricetidae
Description: lncRNA (ENSCGRG00015036314.1)
Source: RNAcentral
CGCUGAUCCAGGCAGGACGCUGCUGAAAGUUGCUGUGACUCUAGACUAUACCAAGUUGAUAAAAACGAACCAUCAUAACCAUCAAGAUUACCAUCAAAUCAUCGUCACCACCACAGUCAUCACCCUCCUCACUGUCACCACCCUCACGGUCGUCUAUCUUGUUCCAGGACGGAUGAUGUGGCCGUCACAUUUCCUUGUACCUGCUUCCCAGGUUAUACAGGUGGCAAGCCUAGGGAUUUGGACUGGAACGCUGGUCUCCUAGGAUCAGCCAAGCACGAUAUUGCUGCCUUACGCUCACACAAGGGAGGCAAGUGCCCUAACCCCCAUGCUGCCUUCAGACCAAUGCCAAGUGUCAUCUCCCUCAUGACUGGGCUGCCAGAUCUUUACACAGCACAACCAAGCUCUGAGUUACUUCCCAACUCCGCC